Molecule: non-coding RNA, 129 nt
Organism: Amazona collaria (yellow-billed parrot)
Lineage: Eukaryota; Metazoa; Chordata; Aves; Psittaciformes; Psittacidae
Source: Ensembl
CACGGAGGACUGAUGGAACUGAGCCUGAAGAGUGAGGCUCAGGUGACAGCAGCCUCCUAAAAGAAAAGGGAUGGAGAGAGCAGUCCUGCUUACAGAAAAGCAAAGGGCUGACUGUGCCAUCUGACACUC